RNAcentral lists this ribosomal RNA (1163 nucleotides) under Limosilactobacillus fermentum. RNAcentral's name for it is "bacterial SSU rRNA". It matches the Rfam family "Bacterial small subunit ribosomal RNA", at positions 273 to 1430 of the family's 1533-position model. The record is from RNAcentral. Lineage: Bacteria; Bacillati; Bacillota; Bacilli; Lactobacillales; Lactobacillaceae.
GCGAUGAUGCAUAGCCGAGUUGAGAGACUGAUCGGCCACAAUGGGACUGAGACACGGCCCAUACUCCUACGGGAGGCAGCAGUAGGGAAUCUUCCACAAUGGGCGCAAGCCUGAUGGAGCAACACCGCGUGAGUGAAGAAGGGUUUCGGCUCGUAAAGCUCUGUUGUUAAAGAAGAACACGUAUGAGAGUAACUGUUCAUACGUUGACGGUAUUUAACCAGAAAGUCACGGCUAACUACGUGCCAGCAGCCGCGGUAAUACGUAGGUGGCAAGCGUUAUCCGGAUUUAUUGGGCGUAAAGAGAGUGCAGGCGGUUUUCUAAGUCUGAUGUGAAAGCCUUCGGCUUAACCGGAGAAGUGCAUCGGAAACUGGAUAACUUGAGUGCAGAAGAGGGUAGUGGAACUCCAUGUGUAGCGGUGGAAUGCGUAGAUAUAUGGAAGAACACCAGUGGCGAAGGCGGCUACCUGGUCUGCAACUGACGCUGAGACUCGAAAGCAUGGGUAGCGAACAGGAUUAGAUACCCUGGUAGUCCAUGCCGUAAACGAUGAGUGCUAGGUGUUGGAGGGUUUCCGCCCUUCAGUGCCGGAGCUAACGCAUUAAGCACUCCGCCUGGGGAGUACGACCGCAAGGUUGAAACUCAAAGGAAUUGACGGGGGCCCGCACAAGCGGUGGAGCAUGUGGUUUAAUUCGAAGCUACGCGAAGAACCUUACCAGGUCUUGACAUCUUGCGCCAACCCUAGAGAUAGGGCGUUUCCUUCGGGAACGCAAUGACAGGUGGUGCAUGGUCGUCGUCAGCUCGUGUCGUGAGAUGUUGGGUUAAGUCCCGCAACGAGCGCAACCCUUGUUACUAGUUGCCAGCAUUAAGUUGGGCACUCUAGUGAGACUGCCGGUGACAAACCGGAGGAAGGUGGGGACGACGUCAGAUCAUCAUGCCCCUUAUGACCUGGGCUACACACGUGCUACAAUGGACGGUACAACGAGUCGCGAACUCGCGAGGGCAAGCAAAUCUCUUAAAACCGUUCUCAGUUCGGACUGCAGGCUGCAACUCGCCUGCACGAAGUCGGAAUCGCUAGUAAUCGCGGAUCAGCAUGCCGCGGUGAAUACGUUCCCGGGCCUUGUACACACCGCCCGUCACACCAUGAGAGUUUUAACACCCAAAGUCGG